Molecule: ribosomal RNA, 253 nt
Filed under: uncultured bacterium
Lineage: Bacteria
Description: partial 16S ribosomal RNA
Rfam family: Bacterial small subunit ribosomal RNA
Source: RNAcentral
GACAGAGGGUGCAAACGUUGUUCGGAUUUACUGGGCGUAAAGCGCGUGUAGGCGGCUUUGCAAGUCGGAUGUGAAAUCCCACGGCUCAACCGUGGAAGUGCAUCCGAAACUGCAUCGCUGGAGUCUCGGAGAGGAAGGUGGAAUGCUUGGUGUAGAGGUGAAAUUCGUAGAUAUCAGGAGGAACACCAGUGGCGAAGGCGGCUUUCUGGACGGUAACUGACGCUGAGACGCGAAAGCGUGGGGAGCAAACAGG